This 807-nucleotide long non-coding RNA is filed under the name Danio rerio (zebrafish). RNAcentral describes it as "si:ch211-280c4.5 (ENSDARG00000097450.3)". Lineage: Eukaryota; Metazoa; Chordata; Actinopteri; Cypriniformes; Danionidae. The record is from RNAcentral.
GAGAAAAAAACAUUCAAAUAAAUCGCAUAUCUCUAUGGUGUUUUUUUCUCUUGCCGUUAAGCCUGCCUGUGAGAGACUACAGCAAGUUACAUGAGAUGGAAGUCGGAUGGUAUGCGACUCAUGUCCAACUAACGUCACUUAAUUUUAAAACAUUAACGUUUCUGUAAAAGUUAGUGUUAGAGAUGAAUGGCACGUGAUUUCCGAAAAACAGAGAAUAUCAAGAUGCUCUGUAUUACCACAGGAGGGCAGAUAUUCCUUGAGUGCUUGGACAGACUGCGACACCAUCAUGCUGACUGCAUGCAUACUGAUAAUUCUGCUGCCAAAGCUGGAUCCAAUCUGCUGAGUCCAAAAUCACUGCAGUAAACAGGUCUCGCAGAGAAAGGAUGAAGACCUGAGGGGGGGAAGGGAGGAAUGAGGUGAUGAAAACAGACAUCCUCUGAAAGAAAUCUCCCUAUACCUUCACAUUUGCUUAAUGUUGGCUGUAGCUGCUGAAGCUCAACGCUGGGCCUUAUCCAGGCGGUGCGAUUAAUCCCUCACAGCACGUCAUCUCUACCAUCACUUCCGCCCUGUUCAACAACACACACACACGUCAGGUCAGAUACAAGUUACAGCAUAUACCCUGCAUGGGCAAAACAAAAAGCAUUGUAUAAAUGUUAAGCCUAGAGAAAAUGUUGCCAUUUUAGCUCAAAGAUUGUAGCUUGCACAUUUGAUGGAGUAUAGUGGCGUCAUUUUUUUUUCAACUCCAGAACUUCAGUCAAACAUGGUCUUGUUUUAGAGUUCUCUUCUUUUAAAGUUAUUUUUUGUCAU